UACAGAGGGGGCAAGCGUUGUUCGGAAUUACUGGGCGUAAAGGGCGCGUAGGCGGCCUGCUAAGUCGAACGUGAAAUCCCUGGGCUCAACCCAGGAACUGCGUCCGAUACUGGUUGGCUUGAAUCCGGGAGAGGGAUGUGGAAUUCCAGGUGUAGCGGUGAAAUGCGUAGAUAUCUGGAGGAACACCGGUGGCGAAGGCGACAUCCUGGACCAACACUGACGCUGAGGAGCGAAAGCCAGGGGAGCAAACGGG
This 253-nucleotide ribosomal RNA is filed under the name uncultured bacterium. RNAcentral's name for it is "partial 16S ribosomal RNA". It matches the Rfam family "Bacterial small subunit ribosomal RNA", at positions 524 to 776 of the family's 1533-position model. The record is from RNAcentral.